Molecule: long non-coding RNA, 298 nt
Organism: Scaptodrosophila lebanonensis
Lineage: Eukaryota; Metazoa; Arthropoda; Insecta; Diptera; Drosophilidae
Exons: 2
Source: RefSeq, a predicted model, not a curated record
GGCAAAUCAGUGGCACUUCAUCAUCAUAAUUUUCAUAUUAUAUGGUUAUACAAAUUUGCUACUGGGGCUAGAAUGGUGCAAAGUACAGGAAAUAAAAAACGAAAAACGGGAGAAGCUAAAGUUCUAACAACAGCAAAGUGCGUGGGCGUGAUUCACAAAAAGAAUGGAGCACCAAGAUGAACUUUGAAGAAAAGGGCACAAACAACAAAACAAGAGUGAAGCCGCGUGAAUAAAUUUAAGAAAAUACACAUUAUGUACAUUUAAUUAAACUUGAAUAAAUCGUUAUAUUUGAACUAGA